This 246-nucleotide ribosomal RNA is filed under the name uncultured bacterium. RNAcentral's name for it is "partial 16S ribosomal RNA". It matches the Rfam family "Bacterial small subunit ribosomal RNA", at positions 78 to 339 of the family's 1533-position model. The record is from RNAcentral.
CUUCGGGUUGGUGGCGAGCGGCGGACGGCUGAGUAACGCGUAGGAAUAUACCCCAAAGUGAGGAAUAACCGCCCGAAAGGGUGGCUAAUACCGCAUAUGGUCUUCGGAUUAAAGGAUUCAUCCGCUUUGGGAAUAGCCUGCGUUCGAUUAGCUUGUUGGUGAGGUAAAGGCUCACCAAGGCGACGAUCGAUAGCUGGUCUGAGAGGAUGACCAGCCAGACUGGAACUGAGACACGGUCCAGACUCC